RNAcentral lists this ribosomal RNA (403 nucleotides) under uncultured bacterium. RNAcentral's name for it is "bacterial SSU rRNA". It matches the Rfam family "Bacterial small subunit ribosomal RNA", at positions 355 to 774 of the family's 1533-position model. The record is from RNAcentral.
UAGGGAAUAUUGCAAAAUGGGCGAAAGCCCGAUGCAGCAACGCCGCGUGGGCGAUGAAGGCCUUCGGGUCGUAAAGCCCUUUUUGAGGGGAUGAGGAAGGACAGUACCCUCAGAAUAAGCCUCGGCUAACUACGUGCCAGCAGCCGCGGUAAAACGUAGGAGGCGAGCGUUAUCCGGAUUUACUGGGCGUAAAGCGCGUGCAGGCGGAUUGGAGAGUUGGAUGUGAAAGCUCCCGGCUUAACUGGGAGAGGUCGUUCAAUACUUCCAGUCUUGAGUGCAUGAGAGGGCAGUGGAAUUCCGGGGGUAGUGGUGAAAUGCGUAGAUAUCCGGAGGAACACCAGUGGCGAAAGCGGCUUCCUGGACUGUAACUGACGCUCAGACGCGAAAGCUAGGGUAGCAAACG